RNAcentral lists this ribosomal RNA (489 nucleotides) under Triticum aestivum (bread wheat). Its description in RNAcentral is "partial small subunit ribosomal RNA". Lineage: Eukaryota; Viridiplantae; Streptophyta; Magnoliopsida; Poales; Poaceae. The record is from RNAcentral.
AUGGCGGGCAUGGUGUUUGGCUUGGAGAACCCGAUGAUGACCGCCCUGCAGCACCUGCUGGACAUCCCGGACGGGGAGGCUGGUGGAGCCGGUGCCGCCGGCGGCGAGAAGCAGGGCCCGACGCGCGCCUACGUCCGCGACGCGCGCGCCAUGGCGGCCACCCCGGCCGACGUGAAGGAGCUGCCGGGCGCGUACGCGUUCGUGGUGGACAUGCCGGGGCUCGGGUCCGGCGACAUCAAGGUGCAGGUGGAGGACGAGAGGGUGCUGGUGAUCAGCGGCGAGCGGCGGAGGGAGGAGAAGGAGGACGCCAAGUACCUGCGGAUGGAGCGCCGCAUGGGCAAGCUGAUGCGCAAGUACGUGCUGCCAGAGAACGCCGACAUGGAGAAGAUCUCCGCCGUGUGCCGCGACGGCGUGCUCACCGUCACCGUCGAGAAGCUGCCGCCGCCCGAGCCCAAGAAGCCCAAGACCAUCCAGGUCCAGGUCGCCUGA